RNAcentral lists this long non-coding RNA (434 nucleotides) under Heterocephalus glaber (naked mole-rat). RNAcentral's name for it is "lncRNA (ENSHGLG00100048998.1)". The record is from RNAcentral. Lineage: Eukaryota; Metazoa; Chordata; Mammalia; Rodentia; Bathyergidae.
CUGAGGCCUGCCUUGCAAGCUCAAGCGGAAGGACCUGAGUUUGAUCCUUGGUACCAAAAAAAAAAAAAAGAAAGAAAUGACCCUGAAGCCAGGUGUAGUGACACACGCUGGGGCCCUGAAUUCCAGCACUCAGAAGGCUGAGGCAAGAGGAUCACUGUGAGUUCAAGGACAGCCUGGGCUACAUACUGAGACAUUAAAGAAAUAGAAAAAGAAACAACCCUGAACAUUAUGAUUUCUGAUCAUUUGGCAGAAAGAUGUCAUUCUUUUUUUUUUUUGGUACCAGGGAUGGAACACAGGACCUUGCACUUUCGAGGCAGGGUCUCCCUAUGUAAUCCAGGCUGGCCUGGAACUCACUGUGUAGUUCAAACUGGCCUUGGAUUCACAGUGAUCUUCCUGUCUCAUCCUGCUCAUGCUCCCCAGGUCAGCACCCCCAC